Molecule: ribosomal RNA, 492 nt
Filed under: uncultured bacterium
Lineage: Bacteria
Description: partial 16S ribosomal RNA
Rfam family: Bacterial small subunit ribosomal RNA
Source: RNAcentral
AGUGAACGCUGGCGGUAGGCCAAACACAUGCAAGUCGAACGGCAGCACAGUAAGAGCUUGCUCUUACGGGUGGCGAGUGGCGGACGGGUGAGGAAUACAUCGGAAUCUACUUUUUCGUGGGGGAUAACGUAGGGAAACUUACGCUAAUACCGCAUACGACCUACGGGUGAAAGCAGGGGAUCUUCGGACCUUGCGCGAUUGAAUGAGCCGAUGUCGGAUUAGCUAGUUGGCGGGGUAAAGGCCCACCAAGGCGACGAUCCGUAGCUGGUCUGAGAGGAUGAUCAGCCACACUGGAACUGAGACACGGUCCAGACUCCUACGGGAGGCAGCAGUGGGGAAUAUUGGACAAAGGGCGCAAGCCUGAUCCAGCCAUACCGCGUGGGUGAAGAAGGCCUUCGGGUUGUAAAGCCCUUUUGUUGGGAAAGAAAAGCAGCAGGUUAAUACCCCGCUGUUCUGACGGUACCCAAAGAAUAAGCACCGGCUAACUUCGUG